UCAGUAAAAAAAAUCAUUUUUAUUCUUGUAUACAUUUGAUCAUUUUUGUUCAUAUUGUAGUUGAAAUGAGGACAUAUUUUUUUAUAUUUUUUUUUGAUCAAGUCAAGUUCAUCGUUUCUACCUCUCUCUCAGUUCUUCAAUGACAUGUAUAAGGUUUGCUAUGUCAAUCGGCGGAAGGUUAAAGGUUAUACCUUAAUUCUUAUACGAAACUUUGUAGAUCACAUGGUGAUUUGAGAGAUGGAGUCAUACGAAAAGUCGAUGUUCAAAGCAGCAAAAUCAAAAUCAUUCUGCAAUGUUGCAACGAAAGCGAACUUCAUUAAGCCAAUCGUGAAUACUAAAAAGAGAAUGUUCAGUAACAUUUUGGAUAUACUGAAGAAACAUAGACAAAUGUUAAUUCAGUACUGAUGCAAAAAGGAACAUUAAAAAGCUCUCGACGAUCACCAGACACUAAAACGCUUAGUGCAGUUUUGUUUGUAUAAGGUCUGUGUACUAUAGGUUCAGUUUGAAAUUCAAACAAAAAGGUAAGUCUAGAUAUUGUUAGAAUGUUUAGUAUGAUGAAUGAUGAACAAACAUGAAUUGAUAUGAAUUGAUUUGAUUAUUGUAUGUUGCAGGUGAAGUUUGUAAACCGAAGAUGAGCACAUAUGAGGUGUAUACUAAGGACGGUCAAUUAUUGGUUUGGUUAAAAAAUCAAUCAAUACUAAUAAUUUUGGAACAUAACCGGUUGAUAUGGGUUUGGUCUAAUUUAAAAAAAAAAUACAAUUGCUACACAUGCCUAUAUAAUUGUAUGGUUACAUAACGAUCAAGUAACUGAUCCAUGAUGCCUAUAACUCCCCUUUACUUCCUACAAUUUCGGAU
This is a long non-coding RNA of Raphanus sativus (radish), 855 nucleotides long. RefSeq lists it as uncharacterized. The transcript is spliced from 3 exons. The record is from RefSeq and is a predicted model, not a curated record. NCBI's taxonomy places the organism in Eukaryota, Viridiplantae, Streptophyta, Magnoliopsida, Brassicales, Brassicaceae.